RNAcentral lists this non-coding RNA (212 nucleotides) under Proteiniphilum sp. Lineage: Bacteria; Pseudomonadati; Bacteroidota; Bacteroidia; Bacteroidales; Dysgonomonadaceae. The record is from RNAcentral.
ACCUUUGCAUUGAAUUUUGGUGUUGCUCACUUCACACGGCUUCGAAGUGAACAAUGAAAAGGGAAUCAGGUGAAAGUCCUGAACAGACCCGCUGCUGUAAGCUCCGCUUACGUGCUGAACAAAGACCUCACUUGCCACUGUCCCCCGAAGGGAUGGGAAGGCGUUCAGACACGGGAGUAAGUCAGAAGACCUGCCAAAGAUUCAUACAACAG